RNAcentral lists this long non-coding RNA (479 nucleotides) under Equus asinus (donkey). RNAcentral's name for it is "lncRNA (ENSEASG00005028606.1)". The record is from RNAcentral. Lineage: Eukaryota; Metazoa; Chordata; Mammalia; Perissodactyla; Equidae.
UGUGGGAUGCCUACCACAGCAUGGCGUGCCAAGCAGUGCCAUGUCCGCACCCAGGAUCCGAACCGGCGAACCCCGGGCCACUGAGAAGUGGAACAUGCGAACUUAACCGCUGUGCCACCGGGCCGGCCCCCUGCCCUGGAGUUUCUAAGGUGCUGGGUCCAAUCAACUGAACUGAUUUCUAGAGGAUUGUGAGCUGCGAUUUGAAAAACACUGAUCUGUGAGGCGUCGAGCACAUGAGUGGGCACGCACACGCAUGUGGUCUUGCACUCUUAGCGGUCAUCUCGCACAUGAGGAAACAGAGGCUCAGAGAAGCUAAGUGACUCGCCCAAGGUCACAAGGCUUGGAAGUGGCAGAACAAGGAUCCCCAUGCAGGCAGAUUGGACCUCCACUGUUAACACAUACUGCAUCUCAGAAAGCUCUGGAAAGACGGUGGUUCCUGGCAUUUGUUGAAGGAGCUGAUAAAAAUGAUCCUUAAUGUC